This 300-nucleotide ribosomal RNA is filed under the name uncultured Lactobacillus sp. RNAcentral describes it as "bacterial SSU rRNA". It matches the Rfam family "Bacterial small subunit ribosomal RNA", at positions 496 to 795 of the family's 1533-position model. Lineage: Bacteria; Bacillati; Bacillota; Bacilli; Lactobacillales; Lactobacillaceae. The record is from RNAcentral.
UCUAACUAAGGGCGAGCGGACGCGUGAAUAGUGAGGUGGUGAGGCGUGUUCGGAUGUAGUGGGCGUAAAGCGAUCGGAUGCGGUUCCUGAAGUCGGAGGGUAAAGCCCACGGCUCAACCGUGGAAGGUCAUUGGAAACUGGGGAACUUGAGUGCAGAAGAGGAGAGUGGAAUUCCAUGUGUAGCGGGUAAAUGCGUAGAUAUAUGGAGGAACACCAGUGGCGAAGGCGACUCUCUGGUCUGUAACUGACGCUGAGGCUCGAAAGCGUGGGGAGCAAACAGGAUUAGAUACCCCUGUAGUC